UGGUAGUGAGAACACGUAAAACUCUUAUCGAUAAGCCAUUGGAGGGCAAGUCUGGUGCCAGCAGCCGCGGUAAUUCCAGCUCCAAUAGCGUAUAUUAACGUUGUUGCAGUUAAAAAGCUCGUAGUUGAAGUGAGGGAGUGUGUGUUGUGAUCGAAUCGAUCGAGAGCAGUACAACCUCCCCCUUCCAAUGGGUGUAUUGGGGUAUUCAUUUACUUCAUUACUCCUUUGGUCGUUUACUGUGAGAAAAUUAGAGUGUUCAAAGCGGGCGUUUGUUUGAAUAGAUUAGCAUGGAAUAAUGAUUGAAGGCUUUCGUGUUCGAUUUGAUUGGUUUGUUCAUGGAAGCAAGGUUAAAAGGAACAGUUGGGGGUAUUCAUAUUCACUAGUUAGAGGUGAAAUUCUCGGAUUUAUGGAAGAUGAACAAGGCCGA
RNAcentral lists this ribosomal RNA (427 nucleotides) under Blastocystis sp. subtype 2. RNAcentral describes it as "SSU rRNA". It matches the Rfam family "Eukaryotic small subunit ribosomal RNA", at positions 509 to 948 of the family's 1831-position model. Lineage: Eukaryota; Bigyra; Opalinata; Blastocystidae. The record is from RNAcentral.